GAUGAACGCUAGCGACAGGCCUAAUACAUGCAAGACGAACGGUAAGAUUGGUAGCAAUAUUGAUCCUAGAGUGUCGUAAGGGUGCGUAACACGUAUGCAAUCUGCCCUCAACAGGAGGAUAGCUCCCCGAAAGGGGAAUUAACACUCCAUAAGAUUGUGGUGUGGCAUCACACAGCAAAUUAAAACUACGGUGGUUGAGGAUGAGCAUGCGCAUGAUUAGUUAGUUGGCGGGGUAAUGGCCCACCAAGACGAUGAUCAGUUAGGGGAACUGAGAGGUUGACUCCCCCACACUGGCACUGAGAUACGGGCCAGACUCCGUACGGGAGCAGCAGUAGGGAA
This 339-nucleotide ribosomal RNA is filed under the name uncultured bacterium. RNAcentral's name for it is "bacterial SSU rRNA". It matches the Rfam family "Bacterial small subunit ribosomal RNA", at positions 28 to 361 of the family's 1533-position model. The record is from RNAcentral.